UACGUAGGGUGCGAGCGUUAAUCGGAAUUACUGGGCGUAAGGCGUGCGCAGGCGGUUCGACAAGUCUGAUGUGAAAUCCCCGGGCUCAACCUGGGAACUGCGUUGGAAACUGUCGGGCUAGAGUGUAGAAGAGGGGGGUAGAAUUCCACGUGUAGCAGUGAAAUGCGUAGAGAUGUGGAGGAAUACCGAUGGCGAAGGCAGCCCCUCGGGCGUAACACUGACGCUCAUGCACGAAAGCGUGGGGAGGCAAAC
RNAcentral lists this ribosomal RNA (252 nucleotides) under uncultured bacterium. RNAcentral describes it as "partial 16S ribosomal RNA". It matches the Rfam family "Bacterial small subunit ribosomal RNA", at positions 524 to 774 of the family's 1533-position model. The record is from RNAcentral.